UACGAAGGGGGCUAGCGUUGUUCGGAUUUACUGGGCGUAAAGCGCACGUAGGCGGAUCUUUAAGUCAGAGGUGAAAUCCCAAGGCUCAACCUUGGAACUGCCUUUGAUACUGGGGAUCUUGAGUCCGGGAGAGGUGAGUGGAACUGCGAGUGUAGAGGUGAAAUUCGUAGAUAUUCGCAAGAACACCAGUGGCGAAGGCGGCUCACUGGCCCUGUACUGACGCUGAGGUGCGGAAGCGUGGGGAGCAAACAGG
This 253-nucleotide ribosomal RNA is filed under the name uncultured bacterium. Its description in RNAcentral is "partial 16S ribosomal RNA". It matches the Rfam family "Bacterial small subunit ribosomal RNA", at positions 524 to 776 of the family's 1533-position model. The record is from RNAcentral.